Molecule: ribosomal RNA, 253 nt
Filed under: uncultured bacterium
Lineage: Bacteria
Description: partial 16S ribosomal RNA
Rfam family: Bacterial small subunit ribosomal RNA
Source: RNAcentral
UACAGAGGGUGCAAGCGUUGUUCGGAAUUACUGGGCGUAAAGGGCGCGUAGGCGGCCUUCUAAGUCGAACGUGAAAUCCCCGGGCUCAACCCGGGAACUGCGUCCGAGACUGGGAGGCUUGAAUCCGGGAGAGGGAUGCGGAAUUCCAGGUGUAGCGGUGAAAUGCGUAGAUAUCUGGAGGAACACCGGUGGCGAAGGCGGCAUCCUGGACCGGUAUUGACGCUGAGGCGCGAAAGCCAGGGGAGCAAACGGG